This 3481-nucleotide ribosomal RNA is filed under the name Durio zibethinus. RNAcentral's name for it is "eukaryotic LSU rRNA". It matches the Rfam family "Eukaryotic large subunit ribosomal RNA". Lineage: Eukaryota; Viridiplantae; Streptophyta; Magnoliopsida; Malvales; Malvaceae. The record is from RNAcentral.
GUGACCCCAGGUCAGGCGAGAUUACCCGCUAAGUUUAAGCAUAUCAAUAAGCGAAGGAAAAGAAACUUACUAGGAUUCCCCUAGUAAUGGCAAGUGAACUGGGAAGAGCCCAUCUUGAGAAUCGAGCACCCCCGGCAUCCGAAUCAUAGUCUAAACAAGCAUCCUCAAUGGGGGACCAAGCCCAAGUCCUCUGGAAAGGGGCACCGAAGAGGGUGAGAGCCCCAUUAUGCCCAGACUCUAUCACACCAUGAGGCACUGUCCGCGAGUUAGGUUAUUUGGGAAUGCAGCCCCGAUCAGGCAGUAAAUUUCAUCCAAGGCUGAAUACGGGUAAGAGAUCGAUAGCGAACAAGUACCGCGAGGGAAAGAUUAAAAGGACUUUGAAAAGAAAGUCAAAGAGUGCUUGAAAUUAUUGGAAUGAAAGCCGAUGAGGGCCAGUGAUGCGCUCCGAUCAUAUGUGAAACGGCAAGAGUCAAUCCAUCGAUCGACUUGGGGCGUAGACCAAUGCAGGUCACGACGGUGGCCCAAGCCCUAGCUUUCGAUGUGCCCACGGAGACAUCACCACCGCGAUCAUGGAAUAGAGCACACACUGUCUCGACGUACCUCAGCACCCGCGCGUGCUUUUGGAGUCAGCCUGUGGGCUCCUCAUCCAGCUUGUCUUGAAACACAGACUAAGGAUUCUGACAUGUGUACGAGUCAAUGGGCCAAGAAACCCUAAGGCACAAGGAAGCUGAUUGAUGGGAUCCCUUGCAGGUGCACCGUCGAUUGACCUUGAUCUUCUGAGAAAGGGUUCGAGUGCGAGCAUGCCUGUCGGGACUCGAAAGAUGGUGAACUAUGCCUGAGUGGGGUGAAGCCAGAGGAAACUCUGGUAGAGGCCCGUAGCGAUACUAACGUGUAAAUCAUUCGUCUGACUUGGGUAUAGGGGCAAAAGACUAAUCAAAUUAUGUAGUAGCUGGUUCCUUCCGAAGUUUCCCUCGAGAUAGUUGGAGCCCCUGGCGAGUUCUAUCGAGUAAAGCUAAUGAUUAAAGGCAUCAGGGGUGCAUUGCCCUUGACCUACUCUCAAACUUUAAAUAGGUAGGACGACGCGACUGCUUCAUUGAGCUACACCAUGAAAUCAAAAGCUACAAGUGGGCCAUUUUUGGUAAGCAAAAUUGGCGAUGCAGGAUGAACCGAAAGUCAGGUUACGAUACCCAACUACGUGCUAACCCAAAACCCAUAAAGGGUGUUGGUCAAUUAAGACAGUAGGACAGUGGUCAUGGAAGUCAAAAUCUGCUAAGGAGUGUGUAACAACUCACUUGCCGAAUCAAUUAGCCUAAAAAUGGAUGGCGUUUAAGCGCGUGACCUAUACUCGAUCAUCGGGGCAAGGGCCAGGCCCCGAUGAGUAAGAGGGUGUGGUAGUCACCAUAAAACUUGGGGCACGAGCCCAAGGGAAAGGCCAUCAGUGCAGAUCUUGGUGGUAGUAGCAAAUAUUCAAAUGAAAACUUUAAAAGUCGAAGAGGGGAAAGGUUCCAUGUGAAUGGCACUUGCAAAUGGGUUAGUCGAUCCUAAGAGAUAGGGAAAGUCCAUCCGACAGCGUGUCCUGUGCGAGCUUCGAAAAGGAAUCAGGUUAAAAUUCUUGAACCGGGAUGCAACGGCUGACGACAACAUUAGGGAGUCCGAAGACAUCAGCAAGAGCCUCGAGAAGAGUUAUAUUUUCUGUUUAACGGCCCGCCCACCCUGGAAAUGGCUCAAUCGGAGGUAGGGUCCAACGAUCGAAUGAGCACCGCACGUCGCGUGGUGUCAGGUGCACCCUCUGUGGCCUUGAAGAUCUAGAGGACCGAGUGCCAUCCACACCCAGUAGUACUCAUAACCACAUCAGGUCUCCAAGGUGAACAACCUCUAGUCGAUGGAACAAUGUAGGCAAGGGAAGUCGACAAAAUGGAUCUGUAACCUUGGGAAAAAGAUUGGCUUUGAGGGCUGGGCAUGGGGGUCUCAGUCUCGAACCCAUCGACUAUCAGUGCACUCCUCUAGCUACUCCCGUGGUGAGAACGGGUCACCACAUGCUGACCGAGGGAUGACUGGGAACGACUCCCUCGGGGGUCCCAGUUCUGAACCCAUCGACUACUGGUGCACUGCUCGAGCUACUCUCGCGAUGAGAGUGGGUUGCCGCGUGCUGAUCGAGGGAAGGACUGGGAAUAGCUCCCUCAGGGGCCUUCCUCGGGUGACAAACAGUUGAAUUAAAAUUGGUACGGACAAGGGGAAUCUGACUGUUUAAUUAAAAUAAAGCAUUGUGAUGGUCCCUACGGAUGCUGACACAACGUGAUUUCUACCCAGUGCUCUGAAUGUCAAAGUGAAAAAAUUCAACCAAGCACGAGUAAACGGCAAGAGUAACUAUGACUCUCUUCAGGUAGCCAAAUGCCUCGUUAUCUAAUUAGUGACACGCAUGAAUGGAUUAACGAGAUUCCCACUGUCCUUAUCUACUAACCAGCGAAGCCACAGCAAAAGGAACAGGCUUGGCAAAAUCAGUGGGAAAAAUAAACCCUAUUGAGCUUGACUCUAGUCUGACUUUAUGAAAUGACUUAAGAGGUGUAGGAUAAGUGGGAGCCCCCGGACGAAAUUGAAAUUCCACUACUUUUAACGUUAUUUUACUUAUUUCAUGAAUUAGAAGUGGGGCACAACCCCUUCUUUUGGACCCAAGGUCUGCCUCGACCGAUCGAUCUAGGUGGAAGACAUUGUUAAGUAGGGAGUUUGGCUGGGGUGGCACAUCUGUUAAAAGAUAAUGUAGGUGUCCUAAGAUGAGCUCAAUGAGAAUAGAAAUCUCAUGUGGAAUAAAAGGUAAAGCUCGUUUGAUUUUGAUUUCCAGUACGAAUAUGAAUUGUGAAAAUGUGGCCUAUCGAUCUUUUAGACCUUUGAGAUUUGAAGCUAGAGGUGUCAAAAAAGUUACCAUAGGGAUAACUGGCUUGUGGCCGCCAAGCGUUCAUAGCGACGUUGCUUUUUGAUCCUUCGAUGUCAGCUCUUCCUAUCAUUGUGAAGCAGAAUUCACCAAGUGUUGGAUUAUUCACUCAUCAAUAGGAAACAUGAACUGGGUUUAGACCAUCGUGAGAUAGGUUAGUUUUACCCUACUAAUGGCGGCGUCAUGACUGUAAUUCAACCUAGUACGAGAGGAACCAUUGAUUCGCAUAAUUGGUCAUCGUGCUUAGUUGAAAAGCCAGUGGUGUGAAGCUAUCGUGUGCUAGAUUAUGACUGAACACCUCUAAGUUGAAAUCCAAGCUAGAAGUGACGUGCACAACUGCCGCUCGAUUGCUGACCCACAGUAGGGGCCCAUGGCCCCCAAGGGCACGUGUCCUAGGUGUAGCCCCCGUGGUGGACGAGCCGCGUGGGCAUCCUUGGAGCUCAAUUACCACUGAGCAGCGGGUAGAAUCCUUUGCAGAUGAGUUAAAUAAGCAACAGGGUAUUGUACGUAGCAGAGUGGCGUUGCUACCAUGAUCCACUAAGAUUUAACCCU